CCUCACAGUAGUAACUUUGUAGGCGGUGGUAGUAGCUUUUGUAGCUGGUGGUAGUAGCUUUGUGGCUGGUGGUAGUAGUUUUGUGUUUUGUCGGAAACCUCACAGUAGUAGCUUUUGUAGGCGAUGGUAGUAGAUUUUGUAGCUGGUGAUAGUAGCUUUUGUGGCUGGUGGUAAUAGUUUUUAUGUUUCGUUAGAAACCUCACAGUAGUAGCUUUUGUAGGCGGUAGUAGUAGUUUUUGUAAGCGGUGCUAGUAGCUUUUGUGGUUGGUGGUAGUAGCUUUUAUGGUUGGUGAUAGUAGUUUUUGUGUUCGUCGGAAACCUCACGGUAGUAGCUUUUGUAAGCGGUGGUAGUAGCUUUUGUAGCUUGUGGUAGUAGCUUUUGUGUUUAUUGGAAACCUCACAGUAGUAGCUUUUGUAGGCGGUGGUAGUAGUUUUUGUAGCUGGUGGUAGUAGCUUUUGUAGUUGGUAGUAGUAAUUUUUGUCAUCGUCAGAAACCUCACCGGAGGUCGGCCGGAAACCUCACCGGAGAUCAGCCGGAAACCUCGCCGGAGGUCGGCCGGAGACUUUUCCAAGAUGAGAGUGGUUGUUGACUUUUUAUACUAGUGGCAUUCUUGUAAAUAUAAAUGAAAGAAUCUAAUGUUUUUUAUUGGAUGGCAGUCUGUAAUUUUGUUCAACUUUUAUACCUAAUAUAAAACCCUAUUUAGGUUUAGGUGGACUUAUGUGAAUAAAAAUGUUUAGGUGGACUUAUAUGAAAUAAAAUAUCUGAAAGUGGACUUCUAUGUAAUUGGCCCUAUAAUUAAAGGUUAUACUUUAUUUUAAGAGAUAAUAAUCUAUUUAGUCAUCAAAAAAUAUAAUAAUCUAUUUGCAUUAUUGAUAAUUUAUUUGUCAAACUACAAUACCAAGCGAUUAAUUAUGUUGUCCCGAACUACUACGUGAUACUGGGGAGGAAAUCACAUGUGUCAGAUUGCCAUAUGCCCAAUAUGUAUCAAUAAUAAAACUCUGACAUGUGGAAUCUCAAUCAUCACUACUUAACAAAAACCUAACUUUGACGAACUUAAUUAAAUUUUUU
Molecule: long non-coding RNA, 1069 nt
Filed under: Fragaria vesca (wild strawberry)
Lineage: Eukaryota; Viridiplantae; Streptophyta; Magnoliopsida; Rosales; Rosaceae
Description: long non-coding RNA (FVES_LNC005189)
Source: RNAcentral